UUAUUAGGUCCUUAAAAUAAUUAUUUGGGCUAUUAUUAUGAGUUAUAUUGAGUGUUUAUUAACACUUAUAUAAUAGUAAUAAUAGUUAGACUAUUAAUUUGUCGCGGUUAUCGUUAGACUAAACCCUAGUGGUAUUGAUACUAGGUUUUAUCGAAGGAAAAUUGUUUUGAGAGUAUCGAAGCGUUGUCCGAGUGCUGAGUCACCACCUUUUAGGUGAGUGCAUAGUUACUUUCAGCUUACACAUAGAUAUGAAGUAUUUUAUAUAAAUUACGCGCUAUGUGUGCAUAUUAUAUGAAUACUUGCUAUCUAUGCUGGGUGAACGAUUUUAUACACGUUUUAAAUGAUUUAAACUGUAUAUGUAUUUUAUAUCUACGAAAAUGUUGGGGUAAGACAUGGGUAGAUGUAGUAGAUGAAAUAUGAGUUGGAUGAUGAGUUAAGAGGUGAAAUAGACCGUGAGGUGAGGGUGAGAGGUGGACGAUGUGAGAAGCCUUUUUCCCAAAUGAUGGCCCCGUCAUUCAACAGAGUAUGAAUGACAACCACGGACUAUUCUAGACAGUCCAGUGGAACACUAGCAGGCUCGCAGCCUGUAGGUGUUGUGAACGACGUGUUCGUCGGUGUACUCUAAAAACUCAUUGAUAUGUAUUGCGAGUGGACUCUCGAAAACGAUAUUGUCAAUCAAACCCGGCAGAUGCGCCUAAAGGACUCUACCGGCAGAAGCGCCUAAUAGAUAACCUCAUAAUCCGGUAGAUGCGCCUAAAGGACUAUUCAGGCAGAUGCGCCCCAUAGAGAAUGUCACAAUUUUGGUAGCUGCGCCCUAGUGACAGAACUAGCAGAUUGUGCUUGACAGAUGUGUCAUUUACAACAAUGGAAUUCGUACCUAUUCCUUAGGAUACUCCUUAGGAAUGAAUGAACAAGAAAUAGCUGAUUCUUAGGGUAGAUCCUUAAGAAUAAAGAAGAUAAUGGGGAUGGGUAAUUGGGUUAACUGUUUGAUGAUUAAACAUAAUAAUUAUAUUAUUGUGGGUUGAAAACCCUAUGUACUCACCUGGUUUCCCAACCUAAUCCGCUCAGUUUGUUUAUAUCACAGGUGUCGAUAUGAAGUGAUAUUACGCUGAGAGAUUAAAGAGAUGUAGAUCACUAGUGUAAAUAAAUGUAAGUUUCGUUUAUGCUUAUGUUCCUGUAUUGACAAUGACAUUCCAAACGUUUUAAAAUGAAUAAAAUACGUAUCUUGAAAAUGUUUUGAUAACGUAUUUAUCGUAUUUUUCUGGAAACAAAUUCCGCAACAUUUUUAUGAAAAGAAGUACUCUGAUUUUUAUAAAGCAUAAACAAAAUCGGUCUUUUCUGGCCGUGAAAAUGGGGAUGUCACAGUUGGUAUUAGAGCAUUAGUUUAAGCAAAAUAGGAAUUUGUAAGAUUUAUAGACUUAAACUUAGAAUGAUAAGCGAUGAUUGUGAGAUGUGAGCACUAGCUUAUUUUAGGAAUUGUGCCUAAAAUGCUUUUAUGUGCUAAAUGCUUGUGCCUAAUAUGCUGUUAUUUGUUCGGAUCUAUGGUCUAUUGCCAACUGGAUCUGGAAUCCUUAUGUGUUUAGGAUUCUAAGCGUUUAACUACGAUAUUAGAACUAGCAUAUAAACGUUUCGGGGUGAUAAGGAUGAUUUAAACGUCAAUCCUAAAUAAAGAUCUAGAUUCGCCUUAUUUGGUGUAUAGAUCAAGAUGGCAAGGACCCGUAGGGAACCGAGAUUAGCCCCCAGUGAUUGAGCAAAUAUCGGUUGUGGUAGCCGCUGUUGAGCCAAUAACGAUGGCCGGAGUGCAAGCAAUGAUCCAGGCGAUGUUGGAUCGUCAAAUGGAGGAAACCAGACAUUUGAUCCAACAAAAUCAAGAGGAAGCGUCCAUACAGGUUGAACAGCCCGAGUUGAACGAAGGGCAGACUGAGGAGGGAAACUACAGUGGGACUGUUGGUCAAGCCAACCCACCGAUAGUUAGGAAAAACCACCAGGAUGGAGGAAAUGAUGGACGUGGAUGCAAAUACAAGGAUUUCAUGGCAUCCAAACCACCGAGUCUAUCUGGAAGCCCGACGCCGGUGGAAGUCAUGAACUGGAUCUCUGAGAUGGAGACGAUGUUUGAGAGUUGCGAGUGUAGCAACAGGCAGAAGACCACUCUCGCGGUUCCUCUGUUGAAAUCUGGAGUACUAAGCUGGUGGAAGCUACUGGCUGAUUCAAUGCCCAAAGGUGAAGCAAGCAAGAUGUCAUGGGAGGAUUUUCUGGUGCAGUUGAAAAUGCAAUACUGCUCUGAGCAGGAUCUUCUGGAAAUCAACAACGAAUUCCAUAAUCUGAAGAAGGGAAGAAUGAGCGUUACGGAAUACGCUGCAAGCUUUACUGAGAAAAUGAAGCUUGUUCCUCACCUCGUCCCAACUGAACUCUCCAAGGUUAACAAAUUUGCCCUCGGAUUACNCCAAUGGUCAAGCAAAAUACCACUCUGAAAGUCGCCAUCUGGGCUGCUAAAAAUGUGGAGACCCAGAUACGAGAGAAGGGUCUGGAGACAGCGGAGGUGGGUGAGAAAAGGAAAUUUGAAGGAUCUUCAAAUUCCAACGAGAAGAGAAAUUUCUCGAAGAAGUUCGAAAGAGGAGGAGGAAGUGAAGAAAGAUGGUGUGAAAAGUGCAAAAAGAAACACACUGGAAAAUACGGUGAGGAGGUGACUUGUUUCAAGUGUGGGAAGCAUGGGCAGUAUGCCAACGAAUGUAAAUUCAACAAAAGGGUGUGUUACGAAUGUAAUGAGGAAGGGCACUUCAAGCAAGACUGCCCAAAGAGAGAGGGGGCUAUAAAGCCAAAUGUGCCGCCAAAGCCAAAGGCGAGGGAAUUUCAAAUGAUCCUUGACGAAGCAGAUGACAAUGCAAGGAUUCAGGAGUGAAUGUUUGAUAUCCAAAGAUCGAGUUAUGAAGUAGUCGUGUAGAUAGUACCACAUGGUGUAGCCUAUUAGAGGCAUAGUAUAGGUUGAACUUGAACAAUUAUGUAAUCGUUUCAAGGAAUAAUAUAAAACCUUCAUUAUGUUAUCUAAUGUGUCAAGUUGUUAUGUGAUUUUCUUGUAUGAUGACUUGGGUGAACUGAGAUACAAUUCUCGGGACGAGUAUGAGUAGGUGUGAAAGGUAGUAGAGGCGUAUACUACCAGAAGCACAAGAGUCACACUUGGACCAGGUGNAGUAGGUGUGAAUGGUAGUAGAGGCCUAUACUACCGGAAGCACAGGACUCACACUUGGAUCAGGGAAAGUCACAAGGUUACCAAGAAACUAGUAAUUGAUUUCGUUUUAUUCAAGUAUGUCGUUACCAUUGUUUCGGUAAUGACUAAGAAGAUUGUUGUUAUCCCGACCCUAGUGGUCAUAUCACAUUGAGUCCGACUACGAUGAGUAGGUUACGUGGUUCAGAGAACCAAGUUUGAUGUAGCGUCCGACUUAAACCAAACGAUUGAAAUCAAAGCGAUCAAUAGAAGUAUCGCGCUCGUUGUUAAAGAAGUUGGUAGCUAGAAAUGCUACAUGUUAAAGUGUGAUUAUAUCACAUUAGAACAUGAAGGAAGGCAUAGUCUGUUUUAGAAUUUAACUCUAAGAGACCUGAGUCUAAACGUACUUCACAUGAUGAUAGGUCAUAAUUUGGAGUCUAACCUGAGGUAGAGAGCAGGUGCACGAUGGAGUACUACUUAUAGUCAAUGAGUCUAAGAGAUAGACUUGAAGGAAUAUAGAAAUUAUAAUUAUUACCUAGGAUGAAGAGAUGACGUAUGGAGUCAUUAUAUGAGCCCUGUUUCAUUGAUGAUUCUGGGACGUAAUCAUCCUAAGGGGGAGAUAAUUGUAACGCCCGCAGAUCCGGGCUAGUCAAUUUAGAGGCAAUAGGGGUCGAAAACGACUUUUCGACAAAAGAUUAUUUAGAAUAAAUAAUCUUAACCAAGUUGUAGAAUAUGUCACAAGGUUUCCGUACAUAUAAAGAACGCCGAAAUCCGAGUUAUAACGAAGAAGUUAUGACCCGUCGAAGUUUCGCGACGGAACCGGCACGACACCGGGAAGCGUAAAUAGUGAAUUUACGAUAGAGCGAGAUUUAGCCUUAGCAAUCUAAACAAAAGUCGUAGAAUAUGUUAAACUAAGAACAUCGAUAAAAAGAACGCCCAAAUCUGACUUCGUAUGAAGAAGUUAUGAUUUUUCGAAGUUUCGGCUUAGCAGUGUACAACCCGAAAUUCGAAUAAUAGACUCAGCGGGUUUUAGCCAACAUGACCAAAACGAGAAUCGAAGAUCUCAUUAAGAGUAGCGUAAUGAGAAAAAUAUGGACGAAAACGGAUGUCGGAUGAAGAAGUUAUGAGAAUUUAACGGACCAAUCCUGUCCCGGCCUAUUAAUAAUAUAACUUUUAAAAUAGAGCCAAAAUUAGCCAAUGGAGUCCAAACGAAAGUUGUAGAGUACAUUCCCACCUUCACGUGGAUAUAAAGAACGUCAAAAACGGAGCUCGUAUGCGAAAGUUAUGAUUUUUUGAAGUCAAGAAGGAAAAUUGUGAACAGAGAUGACGUGGCCAAAUCUCAGUCGUUGCUUGUUGACCAAGGAUUCGCUUCGGAUCUUGACGCGUCACCCUCGCAUUACGCCUAACGUCCGAGCUCAGAAUGCACCGCGUACGAAGAGUCUUCAUGUGGCCCGAGAACAGGCCGCGUUGCACCAUGCGAAGCUUGCCACCUGGAGUUCUGAUCCGAAGCUACGCCCCGCGUAGCUACUGAACGCCCAGCGUACCACCGAGGCUUCGCGCCUAUAAAAGUCAUGUGAAGUUGCCCGUAUUUCACACACAUUUCUCCACUCUUUCUCUCACUACUUUCUCUCUCUAGCUUCCCUAAACCCUCCUAAACCCUAGAUAAAUCCCCUAUCACCCUAAGGAAGCCCCGAGGCUCCCGGAGUCUCGAGAAAAAGUGUCUUUCGGUUUCGGAAACGCUGCUCCGAGCAAAGCCCAAUUUUCUUUAAAAUCUGCUGUAAGUGAGUUACGCUUAAGCAACUUUUAAUAUAGCUUUCAAAUAAUUAUUGUAAUGUUAUUAGGUCCUUAAAAUAAUUAUUUGGGCUAUUAUUAUGAGUUAUAUUGAGUGUUUAUUAACACUUAUAUAAUAGUAAUAAUAGUUAGACUAUUAAUUUGUCGUGGUUAUCGUUAGACUAAACCCUAGUGGUAUUGAUACUAGGUUUUAUCGAAAGAAAAUUGUUUUGAGAGUAUCGAAGCGCUGUCCGAGUGCUGAGUCACCACCUUUUAGGUGAGUGCAUAGUUACUUUCAGCUUACACAUAGAUAUGAAGUAUUUUAUAUAAAUUACGUGCUAUGUGUGCAUAUUAUCUG
RNAcentral lists this long non-coding RNA (5330 nucleotides) under Lactuca sativa (garden lettuce). RNAcentral describes it as "long non-coding RNA (LSAT_LNC007832)". Lineage: Eukaryota; Viridiplantae; Streptophyta; Magnoliopsida; Asterales; Asteraceae. The record is from RNAcentral.